This 439-nucleotide ribosomal RNA is filed under the name uncultured bacterium. Its description in RNAcentral is "partial 16S ribosomal RNA". It matches the Rfam family "Bacterial small subunit ribosomal RNA", at positions 339 to 795 of the family's 1533-position model. The record is from RNAcentral.
CUACGGGGGGCACCAGUGAGGAAUAUUGCACAAUGGGGGGAACCCUGAUGCAGCAACGCCGCGUGGAGGAUGACGCAUUUCGGUGUGUAAACUCCUUUUAUAUGUCAAGAAAAUGACGGUAGCAUAUGAAUAAGCACCGGCUGACUCCGUGCCAGCAGCCGCGGUAAUACGGAGGGUGCAAGCGUUACUCGGAAUCACUGGGCGUAAAGGACGCGUAGGCGGGUUGGAAAGUCAGGUGUGAAAUCCUACAGCUUAACUGUUGAACUGCACCUGAAACUUCUAAUCUAGAGUAUGGGAGGGGGAGAUGGAAUUAGUGGUGUAGGGGUAAAAUCCGUAGAUAUCACUAGGAAUACCUAAAGCGAAGGCGAUCUCCUGGAACAUUACUGACGCUAAGGCGUGAAAGCGUGGGGAGCAAACAGGAUUAGAUACCCCUGUAGUC